GACGAACGCUGGCGGCGUGCUUAACACAUGCAAGUCGAACGGAAAGGUCUCUUCGGAGACACUCGAGUGGCGAACGGGUGAGUAACACGUGGGCAAUCUGCCCUGCACACCGGGAUAAGCCUGGGAAACUGGGUCUAAUACCGGAUAGGACCACUUGGCGCAUGCCUUGUGGUGGAAAGCUUUUGCGGUGUGGGAUGGGCCCGCGGCCUAUCAGCUUGUUGGUGGGGUGACGGCCUACCAAGGCGACGACGGGUAGCCGGCCUGAGAGGGUGUCCGGCCACACUGGGACUGAGAUACGGCCCAGACUCCUACGGGAGGCAGCAGUGGGGAAUAUUGCACAAUGGGCGCAAGCCUGAUGCAGCGACGCCGCGUGGGGGAUGACGGCCUUCGGGUUGUAAACCUCUUUCACCAUCGACGAAGGUCCGGGUUCUCUCGGAUUGACGGUAGGUGGAGAAGAAGCACCGGCCAACUACG
RNAcentral lists this ribosomal RNA (474 nucleotides) under Mycobacterium kansasii. RNAcentral's name for it is "bacterial SSU rRNA". It matches the Rfam family "Bacterial small subunit ribosomal RNA", at positions 28 to 505 of the family's 1533-position model. The record is from RNAcentral. Lineage: Bacteria; Bacillati; Actinomycetota; Actinomycetes; Mycobacteriales; Mycobacteriaceae.